Molecule: long non-coding RNA, 2653 nt
Organism: Ctenopharyngodon idella (grass carp)
Lineage: Eukaryota; Metazoa; Chordata; Actinopteri; Cypriniformes; Xenocyprididae
Exons: 2
Source: RefSeq, a predicted model, not a curated record
AGUUGAACUGAGUUUGUUAUGAACUGUAACAUGACGACACAUUCAGUCAGCUGCAGUAUCUCAGUAAAGGCUGUUGAACUGAACUGUUAGACGCUCCAUUACUGACACUGCAGUUCCACACAGUAGAAGAGCACAGUGUGUUUUAAUGCUGCUGGAGCUCAUGGAUGUUGUUCAGUACCAGAGAACUGAGAAAUCUUCCACCCUGAACACUGAUAUUGUGUCAUUCAGAAACACAAUUAAACCAAAGAGCUGCUGCAGUUUAUUACAUCAACUAAUAAUGAGCCCAGAACAGUGUAGAAUGAAUGAUAGAAAGUGUUCAGUGACCUUACAAAAUAUUAAUAAUGACCAAAUCAAUAAUAUACAUGAUUCUGUCAAUAGACUUCAGAAACGUGUGUAUAAUUGUUUGACAUGUUUCACAACAUGAGGAAGUUGUUGGAAAAUGUGUUUGUGACUGAUCUACAGUCUUCAGGAUAAUGAUUUAAAUAGAGAGAGUCACUUUGCAUUGUCACACAUGCUUCAGUGCUCUGAGAGUGUUUAUAGUGCUGUGAGUUUAACACUUCAUGACUGAGAGCAGAACAGAAUACAAUCUUCAUCAUCACACAAGACAAAAGAACAACAAUGAACAAAAUCACCUUCUUCAUCUGGACUCUCACACUGAUCGCUCAAGAGUGUAGAGGACAGAUCACUGUAACUCAGAGUCCAUCAAUAACAGCAGCUCAACCAGGACAAGAAGUCAGAAUAAACUGUAAAACCAGCAGUAGAGUGUAUAGUGGUAAUGAGUUACACUGGUACUUACAGAAACCUGGAGAAGCUCCUAAACUCCUCAUAUAUGCAGCAACAAGCCGUAAUACUGGAACUCCAUCUAGAUUCAGUGGCAGUGGAUCUGACAGUGAUUUCACUCUGACCAUCAGUGGAGUCCAGACUGAAGAUACAGGAGAUUAUUACUGUCAGAGUGUACACUGGAUCAACAGUAAAUAUGUGUUCACACAGUGAUAAAGAGUGGUACAAAAACCUCGGUCAGUCAGACGUCACAGUGAUGCACUGAUACAGCUGAGAGAUACUGCAGCUGCUGAUGGAGGAUCACAAACAACACAAUGUUUUAUCAAACCUUUCAGAAACAUUAUUUAUUUAUUUUGAUGUACUAAGCAUGUAACACAAUCUUUAUAUUAUAUAAAUGUUAGUGGUGCUUGGCACUGCAAAACUUGCCACUACAAUGUAAUCUAACUGCAGGAAAGUCCGUCACUUUAACUGCACUUCCAUGCUUCAUCACUAGAUGGCGUGUCUGUUACAUAACUGAGUUCUCUAUCUGUCAGUCACUUUGACGUUGUGUCGAUGUGAUGACACUAGUGUAGUGUUUCUCAACCUUUUUUACUCGAUGGCCUCCUCCUUCACCAGAUCAAUACUGCAGUGCCCCCCUAAGAUGCCUGACAUUUCCUCUUAUAUUGAACUUCCACAGCAAAGAGAGAAAAGUUUUUGUAUUUAAGCCUUUUUAUUAACAUUUGUUUGCAUUAUUACUCUUCUACUGCAUGUUUUGUAAUAUUCUUUAAUAUUCUUUUUGAAAACAUAAUUGGUAAAUUAAAGCUAUGCUUUAUAACUUAAAAGAAAUCCCUCUGCUAAAUUAUAAUACUCUGAUGUUACCCAGGUCGAGUGAUUGCAUCUGUGCCAACAGAACGAUUGAGACUCCCAUCUAAAGCCUGUCGGUUCACGUCGUCCCUGAUAACAAGAACUUAAUGCUGUUGGACAGGCUGUCUCUGCUGUACAUGCCACGGACAUGAACGAGGAUAGUCCCGACCCAGCACACAUGCAGGUACUAUGCUCGUUUACCGAUUUAUUAAUAAUUAAUAAUCAUCAAUAAUUAAUAAUAAUAAUAAAAAAGUUUUCAAAAACGUAAUUUCUCUCAUCACUACAGCAAACAUUUUGAACAUGUGUAUGUUUGGCUUUAUAUUCAUUGAUACAUCAGACCAUGUAACGUUGUAUCUGGAAUGGUAAAACAUUGUUGACUUAUCUUAAGUGUCUGAAUUUCUCAGAAGCUCUUAUAGCGCUGCAGGACUAGCCUACAGCAAACACUGAACCAGACUAUUAAAUGUUGAGCAAGGGAUCUCAUUGGCUGCAGGAUCAGCAGAGACCAAUCAGCCUGAGUCAUUUGGUAUUGAUGUGAUUGCUUACAGACUGCAUGUAAAGGACCGAUCGAAGCCUGUGCCAUCUUCAGUUUCAUGACUGAACUAGAUUUCUGACAUGACAAUUCUUGGAGAGUUUAUCAUGGUAAUGAAUAUGACAAUGUUAAUGUGUUUGGUCUGCUGCUGUUGAUUAUAUCUGCUGUAGAGUACAGAACUUUCCACUGCCAAAACACACACAACAUGCUGCUGCUGUACGAGCAAACAUGAAUCACCCCAUAGCAGAUCUGGACAGGUGGAGCUGGGGGAGGUGGAGGGUUUCUGAAAGUACACUGCACUGCUACAGCAAACAAUAGACAAGUGUUUGAAUGUUGAGCAGCAAGAUCAUUGACUACUGAUACAGCAGGAAUCAUUCAGUUGUGUCCUGUAGAGAAUGAUGUGUAAAUGUGUAUGUCUGACUCUGUAUAUUUACUGUUACUGUGCUUUGGUGAUGUAAAGCCUUUCUUUUAACCCUGUCAGUAAAACUAUUGGACUCUGAA